UCGAGAAUCUUCGGCAAUGGGCGCAAGCCUGACCGAGCGACGCCGCGUGGAGGAUGAAGGCCCUCGGGUUGUAAACUCCUGUCAGGGGGGAUGAAAUCCAGGCGGGUUCUCCCGCUUGGUUGACAUAUCCUCAGAGGAAGCACGGGCUAAGUUCGUGCCAGCAGCCGCGGUAAGACGAACCGUGCGAACGUUGUUCGGAAUCACUGGGCUUAAAGGGCGCGUAGGCGGUGUGUUAAGUCGGCGGUGAAAUACUUCGGCUCAACCGGAGAAUGGCCGCUGAAACUGGCACGCUCGAGGGAGGUAGAGGUGCGUGGAACUUCCGGUGGAGCGGUGAAAUGCGUUGAUAUCGGAAGGAACACCGGUGGCGAAAGCGGCGCACUGGACCUCUUCUGACGCUGAGGCGCGAAAGCUAGGGUAGCGAACGG
This 425-nucleotide ribosomal RNA is filed under the name uncultured bacterium. Its description in RNAcentral is "bacterial SSU rRNA". It matches the Rfam family "Bacterial small subunit ribosomal RNA", at positions 355 to 775 of the family's 1533-position model. The record is from RNAcentral.